UUGAAAGGGAAACGAUUGAAGUCAGUCGUACCAGCGGGAAAUCAACCUUUCGAGUGGGGUUUUGGAGUUUUGAAGAGUGUCAAAACCUUUGAGAUUUCAAAAUUUUCGCUCCUUUGGUGUACUUUCUCGUGGGUAGGUUAACAUCGAUUUCGAUCAUCAUAAAAGGAUUGGAGGAAUGUAGCUUCGAUCUUGUAUUGAAGUGUUAUAGCCCUUUGGUAAAUGUGAUGAUUGGGAUCGAGGAUUGCAACGAAUACCCUUUUGGGCUAUCCGCCUGAUCUCUGAUACGUGGCCUUGGCAUCGAAAGCUUGCUUAUGGUAUCAAGGUAUUACGGUCAAAAGGUUAGAACGGAUUACAUUCGUUAAGGAUGUUGACGUA
Molecule: ribosomal RNA, 375 nt
Filed under: uncultured Glomeromycotina
Lineage: Eukaryota; Fungi; Glomeromycota
Description: LSU rRNA
Source: RNAcentral